This 1183-nucleotide ribosomal RNA is filed under the name uncultured bacterium. RNAcentral describes it as "bacterial SSU rRNA". It matches the Rfam family "Bacterial small subunit ribosomal RNA", at positions 254 to 1462 of the family's 1533-position model. The record is from RNAcentral.
GGGUUAACGGCCCACCCAAGCCGAGGACGGGUAGCCGGCGUGAGAGCGCGGCGGGCCAGAGGGGGACUGAAACACGGCCCCCACUCCUACGGGAGGCAGCAGCAGGGGACCUUGGGCAAUGGGCGAAAGCCUGACCCAGCGACGCCGCGUGGGGGAAGAAGGCCUUCGGGUUGUAAACCCCUUUUGCCGGGGACGAGGGGGGACGGUACCCGGCGAAUAAGCCCCGGCCAACUACGUGCCAGCAGCCGCGGUAAGACGUAGGGGGCGAGCGUUACCCGGAAUUACUGGGCGUAAAGGGCGUGUAGGCGGCCGGGUGGGCCCUGGGUGAAAGCCACCGGCUCAACCGGUGGAGGGCUCAGGGGACUACCCGGCUAGGGGGCGGGAGAGGGAGGUGGAAUUCCCGGUGUAGCGGUGAAAUGCGUAGAGAUCGGGAGGAACACCGGUGGCGAAGGCGGCCUCCUGGCCCGACCCUGACGCUGAGGCGCGAAAGCGUGGGGAGCAAAGGGGAUUAGAUACCCCUGUAGUCCACGCCCUAAACGAUGCGGGCUAGGUAUGUGGGGGGUAAAAACCCCUGUCGUGCCGAAGCUAACGUCGUUAAGCGUCCCGCCUGGGGAGUACGGCCGCAAGGCUAAAACUCAAAGGAAUUGACGGGGGCCCGCACAAGCGGUGGAGCGUGUGGUUUAAUUCGAUGCUAAGCGAAGAACCUUACCAGGGUUUGACAUGUGGGUGGUAGGGACCCGAAAGGGCGACGACUCUUCUUCGGAAGGGAGCCUACACAGGUGCUGCAUGGCUGUCGUCAGCUCGUGCCGUGAGGUGUUGGGUUAAGUCCGCAACGAGCGCAACCCCUGCCGCCAGUUGCUCUCUCUGGCGGGACUGCCCCCCAAAAGGGGGAGGAAGGUGGGGAUGACGUCAAGUCCGCAUGGCCCUGAUGCCCGGGGCGACACACACGCUACAAUGGGCGGGACAAAGGGGAGCGAAGGGGCGACCCGGAGCGAAUCCCGGCAAACCCGCCCCCAGUGGGGAUCGGAGGCUGAAACCCGCCUCCGUGAACGCGGAAUCGCUAGUAACCGCCGGACAGCCGACGGCGGUGAAUACGUUCCCGGGCCUUGUACACACCGCCCGUCACGUCAUGGGAGCCGGCAACACCUGAAGCCGUUGGGUCUACACCGGCAUACCCCACGGG